Molecule: long non-coding RNA, 506 nt
Organism: Apodemus sylvaticus (European woodmouse)
Lineage: Eukaryota; Metazoa; Chordata; Mammalia; Rodentia; Muridae
Exons: 3
Source: RefSeq, a predicted model, not a curated record
CGCGAUCCUGGCAUCGCCUGCCCCGGAAUCCAGGAGGGCAGCGGCAGGCAUAGGAGGAACCCGAGUCAACACAGAGGCCUCCAUUCCGGCACAGCUGGGAUGAAUCUUCUCCUCACAGUGCAGCCCCUGGAAGCCAGCGGCACAGAGGCAGAGGAAAGCGCCAGGUUUGCUCACGCAGGUGCCCCCAUUGAGGCAGGAGGCUGGAGAGAGGAGCCUUGAGGGUCCCUUUGAAGUGGACAUGUAAGCCAACAAUGACCUUGAACUCCUGAUCCUCUGCCUCCAUCCCUGGAGGGCUGGGAUUAUGUGUGUGUACCGUGUCAGAGCAGGGGCUGGAGAGACGGCUCAGCCGUUAAGAGCACUGCUCUCCCAAAGGUCCUGAGUGCAAAUCCCAGCACCUACAUGGUGGCUCACAACCAUCUGUAAUAAGAUCUGAUGCCUUCUUCUGAUACGUCUGAAGACAACUACAGUGUACUCAAAUAAAAUGAAUAAAUCUUUAGAAAAACAAA